CCUACGGUAGACAGCAGUGGGGAAUAUUGGACAAUGGGGGGAACCCUGAUCCAGCGACGCCGCGUGAGUGAAGCAGUAUUUCGGUAUGUAAACCACUAUCAGCAGGGAAGAAAAAAAUGACGGUACCUGACUAAGAAGCCCCGGCUAACUACGUGCCAGCAGCCGCGGUAAUACGUAGGGGGCAAGCGUUAUCAGGGUUUACUGGGGGUAAAGGGAGCGUAGACGGCGAUGCAAGUCUGAAGUGAAAGGCGGGGGCCCAACCCCUGGACUGCUUUGGAAACUGUAUGGCUGGAGUGCAGGAGAGGUAAGUGGAAUUCCUAGUGUAGCGGUGAAAUGCGUAGAUAUUAGGAGGAACACUAGUGGCGAAGGCGGCUUACUGGACUGUAACUGACGGUGAGGCGCGAAAGCGUGGGGAGCAAACAGGAUUAGAUACCCGAGUAGUC
This 443-nucleotide ribosomal RNA is filed under the name uncultured bacterium. Its description in RNAcentral is "partial 16S ribosomal RNA". It matches the Rfam family "Bacterial small subunit ribosomal RNA", at positions 338 to 795 of the family's 1533-position model. The record is from RNAcentral.